UACGAAGGGGGCUAGCGUUGCUCGGAAUCACUGGGCGUAAAGGGUGCGUAGGCGGGUCUUUAAGUCAGGGGUGAAAUCCUGGAGCUCAACUCCAGAACUGCCUUUGAUACUGAGGAUCUUGAGUUCGGGAGAGGUGAGUGGAACUGCGAGUGUAGAGGUGAAAUUCGUAGAUAUUCGCAAGAACACCAGUGGCGAAGGCGGCUCACUGGCCCGAUACUGACGCU
Molecule: ribosomal RNA, 224 nt
Filed under: uncultured bacterium
Lineage: Bacteria
Description: partial 16S ribosomal RNA
Rfam family: Bacterial small subunit ribosomal RNA
Source: RNAcentral